Syzygium oleosum is the source of this 5172-nucleotide RNA transcript. It is a transcript of the gene named disease resistance protein L6-like, with no coding region annotated. Lineage: Eukaryota; Viridiplantae; Streptophyta; Magnoliopsida; Myrtales; Myrtaceae. The record is from RefSeq and is a predicted model, not a curated record. The transcript has 5 exons.
AGAACCGACCGAGAAAUGCUUUUCAUGGCCGACUAAACCCUCCCUCGCAAGCGCGAGCGUGUGAGCGCAGAUCUCCCGGUUUGUUCUUCCCAGGUUCGAAGCAAAGCUCAACCCAGAAUGGGAGUCGGUGAGGCAAUGCGUAAUCCUUUGGCCGUCGCCAUCGCAUCGAUCCUUCUCGCCGUGCUCGCACCCCGUUUCCUGAAGAAGAAGGAAACCAUCGCAGGCAUCAAACCCGACGGACCCAUAUUGGUGGAAUCCGCUCCGUCGGCCUCGGGGAACGACUACGAGGUGUUCUUGAGCUUCCGCGGCAGGGACACCCGCACCGGCCUCACCGACUACCUCUACAACAGCCUCGUCGACGCCGGGGUCUCCGUCUUCAGGGACGACGACGAGCUCCGCAUCGGCGAGAAGAUCGGCCCGGAUCUUCUCCGAGCUAUCAAGAGCAGUAAGAUCUCGAUCCCGAUCCUCUCCCCGGAUUACGCUUCCAGCAAAUGGUGCCUUCGCGAGCUGGCCCGGAUGAUCGAGUGCAAGAGAAGUGAAGGGCACGUAGUCUUGCCCAUAUUCUACAAAGUGGAGCCCGGGCACGUGCGACACCAGACGGGGAGUUUCGGGAAGGCCUUUCAUACAAUUAAGAAGCAUCAUGAGGCAGAGGUGGUCCGACAAUGGGAGCGAGCUCUCCAGGAAGUAGGAAGCUUAAAGGGAUGGGAAUCAGAGAGAAUUGCUAACGGACAUGAAGCUGAGUUGGUAAAGAUAAUUGUCAGGAAGGUUUUGGGCGAAUUAAAGGAAGCUUUUCAGUUGGAUGUCACCGAGAACUUGGUCGGGAUUAGUAAUCAUGUAGAGGAGAUUAUGAGAAUGUUAAGUACUGAUGACAGUGAUACUCGAUUUGUUGGAAUCCUUGGAAUAGGCGGUGCUGGUAAGACGACUCUGGCCAAGGUCAUGUACAAUAAACUCUCCAGUCAGUUCGAUCACUGUAGCUUCUUGGCAGAUGUACGAGAAACAUCAAAAGAGAGGGGUGCCCACCAUUUGCAGAACCAACUAAUCUCCGAUAUCCUAAAAGGAAAACACAAUGAUGUCUCCAAUGUCGAUGAAGGACUUAGAAUCAUCAAAACUAGAUUUAGGCAUAAGAAAGUCCUCAUUCUUCUCGAUGAUGUAGAUGAUGUUUAUCAGUUGAACUGUUUGGCUGGAAAACGUGACUGGUUUGCUUCCGGAAGUAAGAUCAUUAUUACGGCAAGAAAACUGACUUUUCUUGAUGAGCCUCGGGUGGACAACUCGUAUGAACUCAACGGAUUGGAUCCUGACAACUCUUUGCUUCUUUUUAGUAGACAUGCAUUCAGAAGGGACUUCCCUUUGCCUGAAUUUGGGGAUCUCUCGCGUGAUAUCGUGUCCACUACAGGAGGGCUUCCUUUAGCACUCGAGGUUAUAGGUUCAUUCUUGUGCGGAAAACGCCUAGCAGUAUGGAAAGAUACGUUGAAGAAGUUAAGGAAAAUACCACAUACGGAAGUGCAAGAGAAGUUAAGGGUAAGUUAUGAAGCAUUGGAUUAUGAGCAAAAACAGAUAUUUUUGGAUAUUGCCUGUUUUUUUGCUGGAACUGACGGAAGAAUUGCAUCCUAUAUGUGGGAUGACUGUGAAUUUUUCCCAGGGAUGGGAAUUGAAGCAUUGAGUUUGAUGUCCCUGAUAAAAGUUGGAAAUGACCAUAGGCUGUUAAUGCAUGACCAACUGAGAGAUCUAGGUAGGGAAAUUGUCCGGCAGGAAAACUAUGACGAGUCCUGGAAACGUAGUAGAUUAUGGAUUCACAAGGAAGCCUUACAUGUUCUAGAGAAGAAUAAGGGAUCUAAAAAGAUAAAAGCCCUCUGUCUUAACCAAAGUGGCUUAGGCAGGGUGUACAGCAAUAAACCAUUUGAAAAGCUACCAAAACUAAGGUUCCUUGAGAUGAAUAAUUUAAUCCUCUCUGGAGAUUUUGAGUAUCUUCUUUCUGAAUUACGAUGGCUCUAUUGGAAAAAUUGUCCGCCAAAUUUUGUGGCAACCAAUUUUCACGCAGAGAAAUUAGUCGUUCUUGACUUAUCAAGGAGCAAAGUCACAGAUCAUUGGGAAGGAUGGAAUCAAAUCAAUGUGGCAAGUAAUCUGAAAGUUCUUAACACUACUAAUUGCCAGGACUUGAAAACAUCUCCUGAUCUCACAGCUUUUAAAAAUCUGGAGAUUUUAAUUCUUGAAAAGUGUGAAUAUCUAACAAAAGUUCACCCUUCUAUUGGAAACAUCAGCACCCUAAUUUCCCUAGAUGUGAGAGACUGUUUCAGACUCAAGGAACUACCAAUAGAAGUGAGUCAGCUACAAGAAUUAGAGGAGCUUUUUAUAGAUAGAACUCGGAUGGAAGAAAUUCACAUGUCUAAAGGUUCAAUGAAGAAGCUCAGGACUCUUAGUGCCAAGUAUUGUGAAUCAUUGGCUCGAAUAUCCAGCUCCUUAAGCCAUCUAGCAUCUCUGUCAACCCUUGAUUUUACGGGAUGCAAAAAGCUUGCUGAACUUCCAGACUCCAUAGGGUGCCUUCAGAAACUGCAGUGCUUAUCAUUAAAGGAAUGCAGCUCAUUGAGAGGGAUCCCCAACUCAAUUGGCAAGUUGGAAUCGUUAAUUGAGCUGGACAUAUCAUACACAAGUUUUACAGAGUUACCUGAAUCCAUUGGAGACUUGUGUAAUUUAGAAGUUCUGCAAAUGGCGCGGUCAAAUGUAAAAAGGUUACCUAGUGCUAUUGGGAUGUUGGGGAAACUCACCGAAUUAGAUGCCACAAAUUGCAAUAUCCUAGGAGGAGAAGUUUGCAGUGAUAUUGGGGAAUUGUCCUCAUUGAGGGCCCUCCGAUUGUUCAAGACAGGCAUUUAUGGCUUGCCAGAAAGCAUCUGUAAGCUUUCUUGUCUCCAAGACCUUGAUUUACGAGGGUGCAACAAGCUUCAAUUUCUGCCAAACCUUCCCUCUGGCUUGAGAACUCUAGGUCUCACUUGUCAGAGUCCUACAUUGCCAGUCCUUUCCAACUUAAUAAAUCUGAAGGAACUUAGUGUCAUGGAGUGCUGUACACUUGAAUGCCUCCAAGAGCUUCCGUCUGAACUGUUGAAGCUUUCUGUUACAGCAUGCCAAAUGCUGAGAAAGUUGCCAGAUUUGUCAAACUUGAAGCAUCUUUCAGUGUUGAGUCUGAAGGUUUGCUCUGAAUUGAGAGAAGUUAAAGGUCUGGAAGGAUUAGUGUCGCUAACAAUGUUGGAUGUGUUGAAGUGCCCAAAGUUAUCUAGGCUUGAUGGGGUAGAAUGUUUGAUGUCUCUGAGGUACUUAAGCAUAGGACCGUCGGAAGCAUUAGAGAGGUUGAUGGAUCGUUUGGAACUGAGUAAUUUAAAGGUGCUUCCAAGUUGCGAGAAUCAAGUUGAAAUUCAAGUUCUUAAUAGCUUCAUUUGCUUGGAAGUUUUGGAUCUCACUGAUUGCAAGUCUAUGGAAAGACUGGACCUUUCAUCUUUGAAGCUUUUAAGGAAAGCAAAUGUUAAGAAAUGCAAGAAUCUAGUUGAAAUUAGAGGCCUUGACAGUUUGGAAUACUUGGAAAGGUUGGAUAUCUCUGAGUGCACAUCCAUUAAGAGACUGGAUAUUGCAAAAUUGAAAUAUCUGAGAUAUUUUUGGGCUUCCAAAUGCAAGAAUUUAUGUGAAGUCCGAGGUCUUGAUGUCUUGGAGUACUUGGAAUGGUUGGACAUCUCUGGGUGCACAUCGAUCGAAACAUUACCAGACCUUUCAUGCUUCAAGACCCUGAAGUUUCUGAACAUCAACCACUGCGAAAAACUACGUGAUAUUCAGACCCUGGAGAAAUUCUCAUCCUGCCAAUGGCUAUAUAUUGAUGGAUGCAAGUCCCUAGAGAAACUGCCAAACCUUUCAAAAUUUGAAGGUUUGAUAGAGUUGAUAGUGAAAGAUUGUCAUGAACUUCUGGAUAUUUCAGAGCUCAAAGAAUUGAGAUCAUUAGAAUUUAUAGAUAUGUCAAGAUGCAAGUCCAUUGAGCAUCUACCAGAUUUGUCAUUGUGCAAGAACCUGAAAUGUUUGGUCGUAAGAGACUGCGAGAAACUUAUUGAGCUUACAGGACUUGGAGACUUGGCCUCGCUGUGGCAAGUGGAUAUUUCUGGAUGCAAGUCACUGACAAUACCAGAAUUACCUGGAACACACAUCAUACAGAAUUAUGAAGAACCUAUGCACCAUCCCUUGUAUGGGACUAUCACUUUCAGCUGAUGGGCUGCAUAUAGUUCUACUGCCAUGUCGAAGUUGAGAAAGUAAAAAGAAGGUGAUCACCGAUGCCCUGUCAAUAGCUAUUUCCUGUCUUUCCUUUGCGGCUACAGAAAGCAAUUUGAUAUCUGUUUCAAGAAGGGAAUUUUCCUUCACGGCUUUUUCUAUUAUCUUUUCUUUCCACUAUAUAUAGUUCAAGCAAUGGAAAGAAGUUGAUGCCCCGGCAAUUGUUCAUUUCUAGAGUGGAACUACUGCACCCAGUUGGAAACCUUCUCUAAGUAGAUUUGAUAUAAUCACGGGUAGACAACUCCAGUUCUUAAUCUUCAACACGAGAUUGAUCAGUGAUGUGCAUGUACAGACACUUUGGAGGUUAACUUGCUUGGAUACCUGAUAUGCCGCGUUUCUUUUACUAACACAGGGAACAGGUGACUAAAGUAGAACAUCUUCUCAUGAAUUUUUAGUUUAUAGAGGCUCUAGUUUGGGAUUGACUACAUAUUGCAGCUUCCUGUGGAAGAAUUUUAAGUGUAGAAGACAUUGCCAAAUGUUGGAACACUUCUCCAGCUUAGAGCUUGCAAAUUCCUCCGAGUUUAUAUGAGAGAUGAAUUUUUGAAGAAUUAAUAUUCCUGGCUAUAUUGAAGUGCAACAAGCAAAGCUUCAUUCGACUUUUACCGAGGAACCAGUGUUUUCUCCUCAAUAUCAUUAAGGAGCUUUCCUCUUUUUCCUUUCGUGAUAAUAUUAUGCCCGAGAAUGUUCCUUGGUUUCAGUAUUGGACCAUUAUGCAAUCAGUUUUGAACGAAGAACUAGACUUCUUUUUCAUUGUGCAAUAACAGUGACACUACUUGCAGGAGCACCCACGCCGGGUGAACCUGUUCUUCGUUAUAUCUCGAUACUUCCUACAUAUCCCAUGUAAAUGAGCAAGGGUUAAAGACAAUUCUAAAU